AACGAACGCUGGCGGCAUGCCUAACACAUGCAAGUCGAACGAGACCUUCGGGUCUAGGGGCGCACGGGUUCGUAACGCGUGGGAACCGGCCCUUAGGUUCGGAAUAACUCCCCGAAAGGGGUGCUAAUACCGGAUAAUGUCUUCGGACCAAAGAUUUAUCGACUUUGGAUGGGCCCGCGUUGGAUUAGCUAGUUGGUAGGGUAAAAGCCUACCAAGGCGACGAUCCAUAACUGGUCUGAGAGGAUGAUCAGCCACACUGGGACUGAGCCACGGCCCAGACUCCUACGGGAGGGAGCAGUGGGGAAUAUUGGAAAGUGGGCGAAAGGCUGAUCCAGCAAUGCCGCGUGAGCGAUGAAGGCCUUAGGGUUGUAAAGCUCUUUUAACCGGGAUGAUAAUGACAGUACCGGGAGAAUAAGCCCCGGCUAACUACGUG
RNAcentral lists this ribosomal RNA (433 nucleotides) under uncultured bacterium. Its description in RNAcentral is "partial 16S ribosomal RNA". It matches the Rfam family "Bacterial small subunit ribosomal RNA", at positions 29 to 507 of the family's 1533-position model. The record is from RNAcentral.